This 252-nucleotide ribosomal RNA is filed under the name uncultured bacterium. RNAcentral describes it as "partial 16S ribosomal RNA". It matches the Rfam family "Bacterial small subunit ribosomal RNA", at positions 524 to 776 of the family's 1533-position model. The record is from RNAcentral.
UACGUAUGGGGCGAGCGUUGUCCGGAAUUAUUGGGCGUAAAGGGUACGUAGGCGGUUUAGAAAGUCAGAUGUUAAAGCGUGAGGCUCAACCUCAUAAAGCAUUUGAAACUUCUAGACUUGAGUAGUGGAGAGGAAAGUGGAAUUCCAUGUGUAGCGGUGAAAUGCGUAGAUAUAUGGAGGAACACCAGUGGCGAAGGCGACUCUCUGGUCUGUAACUGACGCUGAGGCUCGAAAGCGUGGGGAGCGAACAGG